AUUGCCCUAGUAACGGCGAGUGAAGCGGCAACAGCUCAAAUUUGAAAUCUGGCCCUCGGGUCCGAGUUGUAAUUUGUAGAGGAUGCUUUUGGUGAGGUGCCUUCCGAGUUCCCUGGAACGGGACGCCAUAGAGGGUGAGAGCCCCGUCUGGUUGGACACCAAACCUCUGUAAAGCUCCUUCGACGAGUCGAGUAGUUUGGGAAUGCUGCUCUAAAUGGGAGGUAUAUGUCUUCUAAAGCUAAAUACCGGCCAGAGACCGAUAGCGCACAAGUAGAGUGAUCGAAAGAUGAAAAGCACUUUGAAAAGAGAGUUAAAAAGUACGUGAAAUUGUUGAAAGGGAAGCGCUUAUGACCAGACUUGGGCUUGGUUGAUCAUCCUGGGUUCUCCCUGGUGCACUCUUCCAGUUCAGGCCAGCAUCAGUUCGCUGCGGGGGAUAAAAGUUUUGGGAAUGUGGCUCCCUCGGGAGUGUUAUAGCCCAUUGCAUAAUACCCUGCUCCGGACUGAGGUUCGCGCAUCUGCAAGGAUGCUGGCGUAAUGGUCAUCAGCGACCCGUCUUGAAACACGGACCAAGGAGUCGUCUUCGUAUGCGAGUGUUCGGGUGUUAAACCCCUACGCGUAAUGAAAGUGAACGCAGGUGAGAGCUUCGGCGCAUCAUCGACCGAUCCUGAUGUUCUCGGAUGGAUUUGAGUAAGAGCAUACGGGGCCGGACCCGAAAGAAGGUGAACUAUGCCUGUAUAGGGUGAAGCCAGAGGAAACUCUGGUGGAGGCUCGCAGCGGUUCUGACGUGCAAAUCGAUCGUCAAAUAUGGGCAUGGGGGCGAAAGACUAAUCGAACCUUCUAGUAGCUGGUUUCCGCCGAAGUUUCCCUCAGGA
This 872-nucleotide ribosomal RNA is filed under the name Calonectria cylindrospora. RNAcentral describes it as "eukaryotic LSU rRNA". It matches the Rfam family "Eukaryotic large subunit ribosomal RNA", at positions 74 to 978 of the family's 3401-position model. RNAcentral also lists the same sequence under 3 other names. Lineage: Eukaryota; Fungi; Ascomycota; Sordariomycetes; Hypocreales; Nectriaceae. The record is from RNAcentral.